Molecule: ribosomal RNA, 275 nt
Filed under: uncultured bacterium
Lineage: Bacteria
Description: partial 16S ribosomal RNA
Rfam family: Bacterial small subunit ribosomal RNA
Source: RNAcentral
CGGACCAAAAAUUUAUUGCCCUUGGAGCGGUCUGCUUACUAUUAGGUUGUUGGUGGGGUAAUGGCCUACCAAGCCGAAGAUGGUUAGCGGGUGUGAGAGCAUGGCCCGUCUCACUGGGACUGAGACACUGCCCAGACACCUACGGGUGGCUGCAGUCGAGAAUCUUCCGCAAUGGGCGAAAGCCUGACGGAGCGACGCCGCGUGAUGGACUAAGGCCCUCGGGUUGUAAACAUCUGUCGUAGGGGAGGAAAUUUUGACCGAUCCUAGGAGGAAGC